UUAAUUUAUUUGCUUAUGCCACUCAGAGAAAAUUCCACUGACAAAACAAGAGUUUCGGGCCCCCGGCGGGCGCCUGGUUCCGGCGCGCAGAGGCGCCGGGGCGGUCCCGCCGAAGCAACGAAUGGUAGUGUUCACAUAGGGUUUGGGAGUUGUAACACUCAGUAAUGAUCCCUCCGCUGGUUCACCAACGGAGA
Molecule: unclassified non-coding RNA, 194 nt
Filed under: uncultured fungus
Lineage: Eukaryota; Fungi
Description: sequence contains ITS1
Source: RNAcentral